Molecule: transfer RNA, 75 nt
Filed under: Rattus norvegicus (Norway rat)
Lineage: Eukaryota; Metazoa; Chordata; Mammalia; Rodentia; Muridae
Source: RNAcentral
GGGGUUGGGGAUUUAGCUCAGUGGUAGAGCGCUUGCCUAGCAAGCGCAAGGCCCUGGGUUCGGUCCUCAGCUCUA